Long non-coding RNA from Oryza brachyantha (malo sina), 956 nucleotides. RefSeq lists it as uncharacterized. Lineage: Eukaryota; Viridiplantae; Streptophyta; Magnoliopsida; Poales; Poaceae. The record is from RefSeq and is a predicted model, not a curated record. The transcript is spliced from 7 exons.
UUCAAUACUUCUGUACAUUGACACAUCAUUAUGUUAACAUAAUGGUUAACGUAAUGAAGCUAACACUGAAUGAAGGGUGACACAUGCUAUAGUAAAAACGGCAUUAGAAUAACUGUAUAUAUGCACAUCGCCAAGCAAUGGUGCAAAGGGGUCGGAAGUUUCACAACGACCACUCAUGGAUAAGCACCAAUCAAUGGAUGAAGGUACUUUUGUGUAUCAACAUAAGUCGUGAUAUGACUGCAAGUUAUUCCCAGCAGGUUUUCCAAGGUGCAAGCAAGCUAUUGGAGGGAUGGUUGGAGUGUAUAGUUCCCCAAAAGCCUGCCAGCAGAAAGGGUCGUUUAGGCGGUAGUGAGGUAUUUGGACUGGUCUGAGUUGUACUCCAGUAAGAGUGAUUCCUGAACAAGGUUCUUUUGUCACAGUAAAACUGGUCUAUGAUAAUUGGUGUUUGGACUUCUGAGACUUGGAUGUUUGAGAACCUUACAUCUUGAACCAAGCCUAAGCCACCCUGCAAGGAGAAUUUUAUUUGUUUAACUCAGUGUAUUCCGUCAGUGUUGAGGCUGUUCUCUGGGGAGGAUAUUGUUAGGUCAUGGACCAUUACUCCUUGACAGCUGUCAAACUUAAGGUGGCACUGUGAACUGUUGACAAUAGUGAUACCAGAUACUACCACGUUGAAACUACCAUAGAAUCUCAAUGCCUGCAUCAGAGUUUAACUUGUGGCAUCCUUUCAAACUCCACAUCAUACUGCUGGAAGUAGCCAAGAAUUUUAUGGGAAUGAUCAGCAUGGAGCCUACCUGACGUAUUGAAGGGGAAAUUCCGGACUUGGAGGAAAAAAGUACAUGAUAUUUGACAAUUUUACGUAGAAGGUGCAUUCGGGCUUGGACUUGGGCUUGGGCUCUGGUACCCUUUGCCGGCACCAGGGCUCGGUGGUGCGCUGACUGGCGGCUUCAGACUUGGCC